AAAUUAUAUGUGAUUUUAAUAAAAACCAUGUAUUACUAAAAAAUAAGAAUAUAUUUUUAAAGAAAUCACGUGUGAUCUUAAUAAAAAACGUGUAUUACUAGAAAAUAUCAUGAUAAGAAAAUAUAUUAAACUGAAUAGAAUGUUUUUUCCAAAAAAUACCAUGUGUUUUUAUGAGUACUAUAUAAUAAGAGAAAAUAACAAGAUAAAAAGAGGAUAUUAUGUUAUCGCAUGUAUUUCAGAAAAAACCAUGUUACAAAGAAUAUUUAUGUAAUAACAUGUGUUCUCCAACAUAUUUCCGAUAAGGUAUUGUGACUCAAGGUUAUUUUGUACAUUCUUUUUGAAUCCAUAGUCAUUUAUUAUAAAUUCUCUAGUAGUUAUUGAUAAGUUUACCACAAGUGGAUAAGUUGUAGACUUGUAGCCUCGUAGGCAACACCGAGGACUAGUGGACAAGUU
This 453-nucleotide small RNA is filed under the name Arabidopsis thaliana (thale cress). RNAcentral's name for it is "ATSL175320". The record is from RNAcentral. Lineage: Eukaryota; Viridiplantae; Streptophyta; Magnoliopsida; Brassicales; Brassicaceae.